AAUAAGAUCGUUUUUCGUUUUUCCGUAUCCAACGUUUGAUCAUUCGUCUUAUUUGAAAAAGUUGUAUAAAAACUUAAAAUAAUUAGUCACGGAUAAAGUAUUAUUCAUGUUUUAUCAUCUAGUAACAACAAAAAUAUUAAUCGUAAUUUUUUUUCAAAUAAAACGAAUGGUCAAAUGUUGGAUACGGAAAAACGAAAAAUGAUCUUAUU
Non-coding RNA from Oryza brachyantha (malo sina), 209 nucleotides. NCBI's taxonomy places the organism in Eukaryota, Viridiplantae, Streptophyta, Magnoliopsida, Poales, Poaceae. The record is from Rfam.